This 388-nucleotide ribosomal RNA is filed under the name uncultured alga. RNAcentral describes it as "eukaryotic LSU rRNA". The stretch from base 1 to 105 matches the Rfam family "5.8S ribosomal RNA", at positions 50 to 154 of the family's 154-position model. The record is from RNAcentral.
GAAAUGCGAUACGUAGUGUGAAUUGCAGAAUUCCGUGAACCAUCGAAUUUUUGAACGCAUAUUGCGCUCAAGGCUUCGGCCAAGAGCAUGUCUGCCUCAGCGUCGGGUUCAAUAUCCCACCCCUCUCUCUCUAUCCGAGUGUGUGGGGUGGGGAUACAUCGCAGUCUCAUGCCCGUCAAAGGCGUGAGUCUGCCGAAGUCAACAAGGUGCCUCAUAGCGCGGUGUCGGUCUCUAGGGAUCGUAUCCGUAUCAAUCCGCACUCGAUUACACAUCUCGUAUGUCUAUUCGACCUCGACGUUUUGCGCCGUGAAGACGUGUAGUUAAUCUCGACACGUCCUACGCCUCUUACACUUGGAACACCCAACACUUCUCGACCUGAGCUCAGGCA